AAACCUAGUACUGGAGAUCAUAGUGCUUGUAAAAUCAUUCUGUGUCUGGCUCUUGGAGCACGAUGCACAAAGCGGAGAAGUACGCGUAGGGUAGCCGAAUGGCAUACUCUAGGUGUUAUCUUGCCUCAAUUGCAACGAGUUGUUACAGACUGUCCUGGUGCUAUUCAGAUCCUAAGUUAGCCAACUACAGUGCCUUUCAAACCUCAGACAAUCGGUGUGCGAGUUAUUUUACCUUAUGCCUGUGAGUUAAUAGAAUACACAAGGCAAGAAUUUGGAUUCGUGUGUCGCGUUGAGAACAGGCAACUAUCACAUGGCCUAUAUUGCGGUUCGAAUUGUGUGGGACACGUGUUGUAUAAAGGGAUUGGAACCGGUUUCGGAAUUCAAUCUUGCUCGUGACUUUACGACCUUAGAACCGAUCGUUGUAACGCGCAAUUUACACUGGCUUACUGAUUUUAUGUGCACUUUCAGAUUUGUUUCAAACUUUAUCAAUGUAACGAUGAUAAUUGAAUCUCAGAACAGUGCUAACGAAAUUUUGCAACGUUUCGCGUAACAGAUCUAAACAACGGAUGAAACAACGCGCAUUCAGUGAAUUCUUGCAGUAGUAAAACGCGAGGAGAGCGCGACACGAGGCCAUUAUGAGUAGUACAAAUUAGGUAUUGUAAUCGUGUUGAGCCAGAUAUAAAGGAUUGGAAAAUUAUAUCAACGAGGAGAAUAUGGAAGUUCGUAAAAGCUUGAAACGAUUGGAACGAGGGAAAAAGUAAUAUUAAUAUAAAAGAAAUAAAGAAGUCUGAUGCAUUAAAACGGUCGAAGAAGAUGUAAGUCCAAGGAAAACGGAAGAAAUAAUCCUUUCAACGAGUUGCUCACUGAUUUUUCUACGAAGCUAAAGCAAUUCUUGCACCGUUUCGAACGUCUGGCUAUAAAGGACUUAUCUACUUGCUGUGGCAUCCGGUCGUGACUUUUAGUGCGCCGCCUCAUCGGCAAAACGAUCCAAUGUCUAUUAUCGUUUUCCGGUCUGACGACAUAUUACCCACGCGGAAUAUCUCGUCGGCAAUGUUACGUUGCGUGGCUUUCCGUGAAACUAGUUACGUCGUAUGAAUCACAACGGCGUCGGAAUUUAUGAAGCUUUCUGUCUGGAUGUUACUUCGAUUACUUACGACCCGGAGAAAAAGAUCAGCGAGAACGGAAACCAACGGGUAAUGAAUUCUCCGUGCACGAGUUAAUGCGCUCACGUUCGAGACGCAAUCGCGGUCAUUAUAUUCGAAUUAUGCCGGUAUCGAGCAAUUUCUUUCUACUCGAAGCUCGCUGUAUAUUAUAUGAAUGCAAACACAUCAAAAUACGUUAUGUAUCUGUAACAGAUUUAAUGCAGAUGCUUUUGAAAAUGUUACAAAAUAAAUAUAACAAUGAAUUUAUCGGCGCGUUAAAACGUUGGCCAAUAUUUUAACUUGACCGUGCAACUGUUGCAUAUAAAUGUUAAUGUGCAGUAACCCGAAACCUACACGUCAAUGAUUAUUCGUAUGACCGUCGAAGCCAUUACGGUCUUCCUACGCUCUCCAGGAAAGCUGUGAAACUGAAAGAAAAAUUUUUUAAACAAAGAGGAACUUACAAUAAGAAGAAUGAACAGUUGGCUUGAAGAAUUAAUGAACUGGUUGGCUUGUCGGGGAUAAUUUGUGGUUUAAUCACGUAACCAUCGUUAAACGUUGGCGGAGAAGAAAACUCAAAUCGCCAGGCCUGUGGCUGUUUUCAUUUCCGAGGUAGACAUAUUCCGUUUAUUUUUUAAUAUCCGUUCCAUUAGCGUAUCCUUUGAAGUGGCGAUUGUGCCGCGAGCAAUGAAUAAGUGAAAACGACUGACAGAGAAAUGGCUGGCGACGAAUAAAGGUAGCGACGAGCAGAGAUUCGACCAACAAUAAAAAGUGAAUAAUAGUGAAAUACUAAAAACCUACUAUUCCUUGUUUAGUACAGCAAUGGGCGAGAUAACUGUUGUUAAAGUAUGAAAAGAACAACGAAGUUCAUAAAAGAAAGAGAUAUAUAAAGAAUGAGGUUGUUGUAAGGUAAUCGUGUAGAUAUUGCGGAAAUCUUAUCAGAUCUGCUGGUCGCUGAAAAUUUAAAGGUGACAACGAAUACAAUAGAAUAAACGAGAUAUAAACGAGACACGAAGAUGACGAGACACCAAAUUUUCAAUUCUCUCGUACAUCUUGUGACUACUUCUAAUCAUACUUUUAAUUUAAAAACACUAUGCAUUUUGCUCCAUGCAGAAUAAAAUCCACCACGUGAUAAUGUUAUUAAGGAUAAUGGUUCUCUUAACGAGGAGCGAUACAAAAUGAUGGUUCUCAUAACGAGGAACGCUACAAGACGAUAGUUGCCGAAAUGGCGAACUUUAUUCCCCAAUAAAGAGAACAUUUACCGGUUUCCUAGGUGACCGAAUCUGUUACUGAAAACGUUUCAAUCAACAAAGUUCUAUCGGCAUUCAAAGAUGUAAUUUUACCGCAAUUACGGUCAACAUCUAGUAAAAUCGCAGAGGGGUUAAACAUUCAACAGACGUACAAACCGAAAACUACUACAAUGUCACCACCAAUUUUGAUACAAUCCAACACUCCUUUGGCAACUAGUAACUCGGAACAACAAGCGACGAGUGAAGAAACGGACGUACAAGGGAAUAAGCAGUUUGAUCUACAAAUGGUACAGAGGAACCUUAAGCAGCAACGGGGAUGCGCUACCGGUAGAGACGGA
Molecule: long non-coding RNA, 2727 nt
Organism: Bombus pyrosoma
Lineage: Eukaryota; Metazoa; Arthropoda; Insecta; Hymenoptera; Apidae
Exons: 3
Source: RefSeq, a predicted model, not a curated record